Molecule: long non-coding RNA, 2026 nt
Organism: Macaca fascicularis (crab-eating macaque)
Lineage: Eukaryota; Metazoa; Chordata; Mammalia; Primates; Cercopithecidae
Source: Ensembl
GGGGGAGGCGAGGCGCAGGUGGCUCCCCGCGGCCCCGCGCCCCGCGGCUCCCGGACGCACCAGGCAGCCAAUGGCUGUGCAGAGGUGUACAGCAGAUGGCGUCCGACUGCGCCGUUCCUUCCUCCUCCUCCUCCUCCUCCUCCUCCUCCUUUCUUCCUCCUCCUCCUCCUCCAGUGCUGAGGAGCCAGAGUCGCCGCCGGGUUGCCAGACGCUGGAAUGGGUGGUCUCCCGAAACACACCACCAUCUUUCUUGCGCUCGGGAAGCUUGGGGCUCGGCGGCUCCCAGAGGCUACGGCGGCGGCUCUGGCGAGACGGCAUCUAUGUGUGGAGUUCUGAUGGUAAAGGAUUUAAAUGGAGAAGGGCACCACUCUCUACUGAGAAUUCUGGAAAAUUUUGAAGAGGAGAAUGUGAUGGAGAAUAGGGACCUGGGUAAUAACAGCCAUUUGAGGAUCUGUAAGGUAAGGCUUACCAAUAUCCAUGUAGGCAACAAGUAUGACUAGUAAUUAUUACUAUUAAUUAAUUACCUAUGAAUUGCUGCAUACCUAGCUAGAUACAUUAGAAUUUGUUUGUCUAAUCCUCAUAAUAAUGUUGCAAAGUAGGUACUGUUAUUUAGUCCCAUUUUUUUUUUUGUAAUAGGAAAGAGAAUCCGAGGGACCUCUAGCACCUUGUCUAAGGUGAAUGCAACUGGUAAACCACAGAGCCUAGAUGUGCAUUUAGAUUGUUGGAUUGCAAGGCCCAUUCUGCUUCUGAUAAACCAGACUACCCUAAGCCUGAGGUUUUACUCAGUGGGUUCAGUCUUUUCUGCUGCUGGAAUUUAUCCAAAAUGCAAGAACACACAUACUUACCUACUGCCAAGGCCUCUAUAGUCAAUGGAGAUGACUGACAGGAAGAAUAUUGCUGAAUUACUUCUGCUUGGGGGUAGAAGCAUCAUUUGGAAAUACGGAAAAAGGCUGCAUUUUGAUUUUGCACAGACCUUGUGCAUGAAGAUUAUAUCAUCUUAAAAUUGUAAAGAACUAGAUACAUUCACUUAUAAAAGUGUUGGCUUCCUGAGGAACCAUUGGGAAAUUCAGAAAAGACAGACAUAUUUAGGAAAUCCACACCAUAUUCCUUUGUAUUAAUGGCUUAUCAUUAGGACAGAACUGUCCUGCCAACUAUGCAAAGCAUUAGCUUUUGAAAUUAGCAUAAAGAAUAUAAAAAAGGGAAAAUGAGUUGUUUGAUGUAAGGGGUGGUUGCUGGUGGGUGCCUGGGUCACUCCUGUGAUCUGGUCAGGUGAGUGCCCUUGUCUGUCCUCUUUGCUCUAGGUAUAUCCCAACUGGAAACUGUUCUCGGUCAAAGAGGACAGCUUACUGAGAAGAGGAGACCUGUUCUUUAGUUGAGCAUGUGUAAGAAGUCACAGUUCUGAAGAUCUGUUUCUUGAAAGUAUUUUGAUGGCUCAGUAUGAGUUUUCUUGACAUGAACUUUCAUGAAAGUGUAUAAUAAACUCAUUUCCAAUACUAAUUAUUUCGAAACAAAUAUACUGUUGGAAUCUGACCAGUUUCUCUCUUUGCCUCUGGCAGAAUCAUAUAGGAAGAAGCUCAGAAAAGUCGAAGUUGUAAAGAGAUUUUUACUCAUUCCAGGAAUGAGCUUUUUCACAUUCAGGGCUGUCUAGAAGUGUGAUAGGCUGUCUCAGGGAAAUGUGAGUUACCCGUCUUUGGGAGUAUUCAAGCAGAGUAUGAGCAACUACACGUCAGGGUGCUUUGCAAAGAGGAUGUGCACACUGAAUAUUAGUAGUUGAGAUUUAUUGAACAUAUACUGUGUGCCAGACGCUACUCUACAUGGAUUAACUUAUGAAAUCCUCUCAAAAAACUUAUGAAGUUGAUUGUAUUAUUAUUAUUUUUAUCUUACAAAUAUAGAAAUAGUGAGUGAUUUGCGUCAAGUCGGGAGUUGCACACAGGCAGUCUCCUUCUAGAGCAGUACAGGUCCUUAGAAAUUGAACAUGAACCACAAAUGCAAUUCAUGUAUGCAAUCUUAUAUUUUUUAGUAGCCA